This 253-nucleotide ribosomal RNA is filed under the name uncultured bacterium. Its description in RNAcentral is "partial 16S ribosomal RNA". It matches the Rfam family "Bacterial small subunit ribosomal RNA", at positions 524 to 776 of the family's 1533-position model. The record is from RNAcentral.
UACGUAGGGUGCAAGCGUUGUCCGGAAUUAUUGGGCGUAAAGAGCUCGUAGGCGGUUUGUCGCGUCUGCUGUGAAAAUCCAGGGCUUAACCCUGGACCUGCAGUGGGUACGGGCAGACUAGAGUGCGGUAGGGGAGAUCGGAAUUCCUGGUGUAGCGGUGGAAUGCGUAGAGAUCGGGAGGAACACCCGUAGCGAAGGCGGCACUCUGGGCCGGUACUGACGCUGAGGAGCGAAAGCGUGGGGAGCAAACAGG